This is a non-coding RNA of Schistosoma curassoni, 46 nucleotides long. Lineage: Eukaryota; Metazoa; Platyhelminthes; Trematoda; Strigeidida; Schistosomatidae. The record is from Rfam.
GCACUGCCGAGGAGUCCCACAAUAGGACGAAACGGCCGUCCAGUGC